UCAUUUUCAUGUGUUCUCCAAAAAUCUAACUUGAACGUUGAAGGAUUUUCACCGAAGCUAACUCCGAUUGAGGACUUGUCUUACAGAUCGUACUGCUACCGACCUACCAUUGCCGCCCAACUCCAUCCAAUCUGAUCCAAGGAUGGAUUUCUGCCAUAACAAAAUGGCAUUGGAGGAAGGAUCAGGCCCCUUUAUGCGAAGGGGUGAAUAUUCAAUAAAAAAAGUUUCAUCAUACUAUUCCAACAUCGAUCGAAUCCGAUCAUCCACAGAAUUGCCAAAUACAAAUCAGGAC
This 292-nucleotide long non-coding RNA is filed under the name Elaeis guineensis (African oil palm). RNAcentral describes it as "long non-coding RNA (EGUI_LNC002399)". The record is from RNAcentral. Lineage: Eukaryota; Viridiplantae; Streptophyta; Magnoliopsida; Arecales; Arecaceae.